AACUAUCCAGUUGUAGCCAAAACACAAGUUGUGCACGUCACCCACUCCAAUAAAAUAGAAAAAGGCAGCAGCCUUUCCCCUCCUUCAUUAAACUAUAUCUUCCAUGAGGAAAGAAGAAACGUCUUGCAUCUUUGGAAUAAAAUAGUACAAGAAAAAAAGUGCUUCUGGAGUGAAAGCUUCUGAUUGAAAUACUUACGAGGAAACAAAUUUCAAUGAUGUUGGCUCAAAGUUUGAGUGAUAAUCUAAAACGCCCAUUUAUGGUAUUUCAGAUUUUUCUGAAUUGAGUAUUAUUUGUAUACUGUUGUUUGCUACUCCAAUGGAAAGUUGCUUCAUCAUUUAUAUCUAUUUUGAGUUUCUGAUGCAAACAAAUGCAGAGAUAGCAAUGCCAACAUCUACACAUUCCUGUUUGGAGAACCAGAGCACGGAUCCAAAGAAGAUAAGACAUGUAAGUCGAAGUCAAAGUGACAAAGAAGAAGAAGAACAAGAGCUAAUGUUUUCCCUAUUUUAUCCCUCAACAAAGAGCUGUGGAUGGGGGAAAAGCAGCAUAUGGGGAGCCACUGCUAUAUGUGUAGCAUGUGUUCAGGCUUCAACUGUUAGUUUUUUAACUAAGUUAACUUUGGACCAAGCCUGUUUAUAAUGCAGCUUUUCAUUUUAUCCUAUGCGUCGAGGGUCAAUUGGAAACAGCCUCUCUGUCCUUUCGGGCAGGGGUAAGGCUCGUCUACAUAUUACCCUCCCCAGACCCCACCUGUUGGGAAUAUACUGGGUAGUUGUUGUUGUUGUUGUUGUAAUGGGGAUGUUUCCUGCUAACUGGAAUACACUAAGGACGCACUUGAAUUUUAGUUAAAAACUCUACUCUUAAAUAACAUCUCAAAAUUUCUCUUAGAAUCUUGUGGUUUUAAAUAUGUUAUGCAAUUCUUAUAAGGACAUGUCACCAAGGGUAAACUGAGAAUUUUGAAUUAAAAACUUACGAAAUAUUAAAAUGUGGCAUUCUU
Molecule: long non-coding RNA, 992 nt
Filed under: Nicotiana benthamiana
Lineage: Eukaryota; Viridiplantae; Streptophyta; Magnoliopsida; Solanales; Solanaceae
Description: long non-coding RNA (NBEN_LNC040800)
Source: RNAcentral